GACGAACGCUGGCGGCGUGCUUAACACAUGCAAGUCGAACGGAAAGGCCCUGCUUUUGUGGGGUGCUCGAGUGGCGAACGGGUGAGUAACACGUGAGUAACCUGCCCUUGACUUUGGGAUAACUUCAGGAAACUGGGGCUAAUACCGGAUAGGAGCUCCUGCUGCAUGGUGGGGGUUGGAAAGUUUCGGCGGUUGGGGAUGGACUCGCGGCUUAUCAGCUUGUUGGUGGGGUAGUGGCUUACCAAGGCUUUGACGGGUAGCCGGCCUGAGAGGGUGACCGGCCCACUUGGGACUGAGAUACGGCCCAGACUCCUACGGGAGGCAGCAGUGGGGAAUAUUGCACAAUGGGCGGAAGCCUGAUGCAGCAACGCCGCGUGCGGGAUGACGGCCUUCGGGUUGUAAACCGCUUUCGCCUGUGACGAAGCGUGAGUGACGGUAAUGGGUAAAGAAGCACCGGCUAACUACGUG
This 468-nucleotide ribosomal RNA is filed under the name uncultured bacterium. RNAcentral describes it as "partial 16S ribosomal RNA". It matches the Rfam family "Bacterial small subunit ribosomal RNA", at positions 28 to 507 of the family's 1533-position model. The record is from RNAcentral.